AAUCUUGCGCAAUGGGCGAAAGCCUGACGCAGCCAUGCCGCGUGAAUGAUGAAGGUCUNAGGAUUNUNAAAUUCUUUCACCUGGGNCGAUAAUGACGGUACUCGGAGAAGAAGCCCCGGCUAACUUCGUGCCAGCAGCCGCGGUAAUACAAAGGGGGCUAGCGUGUCUCGGAAUUACUGGGCGUAAAGGGCGGGUAGGCGGACAUUUAAGUCAGGGGUGAAAUCCCAGAGCUCAACUCUGGAACUGCCUUUGAUACUGGGUGUCUUGAGUGUGAGAGAGGUAUGUGGAACUCCGAGUGUAGAGGUGAAAUUCGUAGAUAUUCGGAAGAACACCAGUGGCGAAGGCGACAUACUGGCUCAUUACUGACGCUGAGGCGCGAAAGCGUGGGGAGCAAACAG
This 398-nucleotide ribosomal RNA is filed under the name uncultured bacterium. RNAcentral's name for it is "partial 16S ribosomal RNA". It matches the Rfam family "Bacterial small subunit ribosomal RNA", at positions 360 to 775 of the family's 1533-position model. The record is from RNAcentral.